GAUGAACGCUGGCGGCGUGCCUAACACAUGCAAGUCGAACGGGAAACUUGGUUUCGAUCAAGUGGAGAGUGGCGCACGGGUGAGUAACACAUGGCUAACCUGCCCUGAAGACGCGAACAACGCCGGGAAACCGACGCUAAAACGCGAUAAGCUCCCAUCGAAUAGAGAGAAGGGAGAAAAACUCCGGUGCUUCAGGAUGGGGCUGUGGUCCAUCAGCUAGUUGGUGCGGUAACGGCGCACCAAGGCGACGACGGAUAGGGGGCCUGAGAGGGUGACCCCCCACACUGGCACUGAGACACGGGCCAGACUCCUACGGGAGGCAGCAGUGAGGAAUAUUGCGCAAUGGGCGAAAGCCUGACGCAGCGACGCCGCGUGGGUGAUGAAGGUUUUCGGAUCGUAAAACCCUUUUCUGUGUGACGAGAAAAGGACGGUAGCACAGGAAUAAGUCUCGGCUAACUACGUGCCAGCCGCCGCAGUAAGAC
Molecule: ribosomal RNA, 482 nt
Filed under: uncultured bacterium
Lineage: Bacteria
Description: bacterial SSU rRNA
Rfam family: Bacterial small subunit ribosomal RNA
Source: RNAcentral